GUCUAUAGUCUUGCCACCCUAAACACACCUAAUCUCGUCUGAUCUUGGAAGCUAAGCAGGGUUGGGCCUGGUUAGUACUUGGAUGGAAAGACCAGGUGUUGUAGGCU
Molecule: ribosomal RNA, 107 nt
Filed under: Pteropus alecto (black flying fox)
Lineage: Eukaryota; Metazoa; Chordata; Mammalia; Chiroptera; Pteropodidae
Source: RNAcentral